Molecule: long non-coding RNA, 390 nt
Organism: Micropterus salmoides (largemouth bass)
Lineage: Eukaryota; Metazoa; Chordata; Actinopteri; Centrarchiformes; Centrarchidae
Exons: 3
Source: RefSeq, a predicted model, not a curated record
GUCCUCCUUCAACCCCCUCUCCUCCUGGUUCCUCCUCUGCCCCUCCCUUAGCAUUUUGGUCUACGGUUCUAUCUUUCUGUGUACUGGUUCUUCUGGUUGUACUGGUGAGACGAUGCCUCCACAGGAAACCUAAAGAGAGUGAUCCAGCUGCAGUCUACUCAGCAGUGAGAGGAGCAGGAGACGUCAGUUAUGGACAAAUAGUCAUCAGACCACACAGGACGAGAGAGUUUCCAGCAGAGCCAGAGGUCGUCUACUCUUCACUGAGGUAGACCUUCACACCUUCACACCAGUCCAACCACUGAUGUCCAGCUGGCCUGGGACUGGUCCCCAGAGCCCCUCACACCUCAGCACAUUAAUUUAUUAGAUUUCACUGUUAAAGCUACAAAGAGA